This 252-nucleotide ribosomal RNA is filed under the name uncultured bacterium. RNAcentral's name for it is "partial 16S ribosomal RNA". It matches the Rfam family "Archaeal small subunit ribosomal RNA", at positions 475 to 726 of the family's 1478-position model. The record is from RNAcentral.
ACCGGCAGCUCUAGUGGUAGCUGUUUUUAUUGGGCCUAAAGCGUUCGUAGCCGGUUUGAUAAGUCUCUGGUGAAAUCCUGUAGCUUAACUGUGGGAAUUGCUGGGGAUACUGUUGGACUUGAGGUCGGGAGAGGUUAGCGGUACUCCCAGGGUAGAGGUGAAAUUCUGUAAUCCUGGGAGGACCACCUGUUGCGAAGGCGGCUAACUGGAACGAACCUGACGGUGAGGGACGAAAGCUAGGGGCGCGAACCG